UACGUAGGGGGCAAGCGUUGUCCGGAAUUAUUGGGCGUAAAGAGCGUGUAGGCGGUCCGGUAAGUCAGCUGUGAAAGUCAAGGGCUCAACCCUUGAAUGCCGGUUGAUACUGUCGGGCUAGAGUCCGGAAGAGGCGAGUGGAAUUCCCGGUGUAGCGGUGAAAUGCGCAGAUACCGGGAGGAACACCAAUGGCGAAGGCAGCUCGCUGGGACGGUACUGACGCUGAGACGCGAAAGCGUGGGGAGCGAACAGG
Molecule: ribosomal RNA, 253 nt
Filed under: uncultured bacterium
Lineage: Bacteria
Description: partial 16S ribosomal RNA
Rfam family: Bacterial small subunit ribosomal RNA
Source: RNAcentral